UGUGUAGGCGGUUGUCUAAGUUUGGUGUGAAAUCUCCCGGCUCAACUGGGAGGGUGCGCCGAAUACUGAAUGACUCGAGUGCGGGAGAGGAAAGUGGAAUUCCUGGUGUAGCGGUGAAAUGCGUAGAUAUCAGGAGGAACACCGGUGGUGUAGACGGCUUUCUGGACCGUAACUGACGCUGAAACACGAAAGCGUGGGUAGCAAACAGGAUUAGAUACCCUGGUAGUCCACGCCCUAAACGAUGCACAUUUGGUGUGGGUCAUUCAGUUGAUCCGUGCCGGAGCUAACGCGUUAAAUGUGCCGCCUGGGGAGUACAGUCGCAAGGCUGAA
Molecule: ribosomal RNA, 330 nt
Filed under: uncultured bacterium
Lineage: Bacteria
Description: bacterial SSU rRNA
Rfam family: Bacterial small subunit ribosomal RNA
Source: RNAcentral